Molecule: non-coding RNA, 73 nt
Organism: Phrynosoma platyrhinos (Desert horned lizard)
Lineage: Eukaryota; Metazoa; Chordata; Lepidosauria; Squamata; Phrynosomatidae
Source: the annotation of a GenBank genome assembly
GCCAGGGUGGUGUUAUGGUGUGAGCGCUAGACUUGGACAUUGGGAGACCAGGGUUCGAAUCCCUGCACUGCCA